This 464-nucleotide ribosomal RNA is filed under the name uncultured bacterium. RNAcentral's name for it is "partial 16S ribosomal RNA". It matches the Rfam family "Bacterial small subunit ribosomal RNA", at positions 28 to 507 of the family's 1533-position model. The record is from RNAcentral.
GACGAACGCUGGCGGCGUGCUUAACACAUGCAAGUCGUACGGUAAGGCCCUUUCGGGGGUACACGAGUGGCGAACGGGUGAGUAACACGUGAGUAACCUGCCCACAACUUUGGGAAACGCUAGGAAACUGGUGCUAAUACUGGAUAUGUGCUCCUGCUGCAUGGUGGGGGUUGGAAAGCUCCGGCGGUUGUGGAUGGACUCGCGGCCUAUCAGCUUGUUGGUGGGGUAGUGGCCUACCAAGGCGGCGACGGGUAGCCGGCCUGAGAGGGUGACCGGCCACAUUGGGACUGAGAUACGGCCCAGACUCCUACGGGAGGCAGCAGUGGGGAAUAUUGCACAAUGGGCGCAAGCCUGAUGCAGCAACGCCGCGUGCGGGAUGACGGCCUUCGGGUUGUAAACCGCUUUCAGCAGGGACGAAGCUUUUUGUGACGGUACCUGCAGAAGAAGCACCGGCUAACUACGUG